RNAcentral lists this ribosomal RNA (460 nucleotides) under uncultured bacterium. Its description in RNAcentral is "partial 16S ribosomal RNA". It matches the Rfam family "Bacterial small subunit ribosomal RNA", at positions 338 to 795 of the family's 1533-position model. The record is from RNAcentral.
CCUACGGGAGGCAGCAGUGAGGAAUAUUGGUCACUGGACGAGAGUCUGAACCAGCCAAGUAGCGUGAAGGAUGACUGCCCUAUGGGUUGUAAACUUCUUUUAUAUGGGAAUAAAAUGUUCCACGUGUGGGAUUUUGUAUGUACCAUAUGAAUAAGGCUCGGCUAACUCCGUGCCAGCAGCCGCGGUAAUACGGAGGAUCCGAGCGUUAUCCGGAUUUAUUGGGAUUAAAGGGAGCGUAGGUGGAUUGUUAAGUCAGUUGUGAAAGUUUGCGGCUCAACCGUAAAAUUGCAGUUGAAACUGGCAGUCUUGAGUACAGUAGAGGUGGGCGGAAUUCGUGGUGUAGCGGUGAAAUGCUUAGAUAUCACGAAGAACUCCGAUUGCGAAGGCAGUUCACUGGACUGCAACUGACACUGAGGCUCGAAAGUGUGGGUAUCAAACAGGAGUAGAUACCCUUGUAGUC